This 212-nucleotide long non-coding RNA is filed under the name Setaria italica (foxtail millet). RNAcentral's name for it is "long non-coding RNA (SITA_LNC004377)". Lineage: Eukaryota; Viridiplantae; Streptophyta; Magnoliopsida; Poales; Poaceae. The record is from RNAcentral.
GUUGCAGAUCUGUUGCGGUUGUUUGUUCGUGUGCAACAUUGUUUGGGUGCUUGCCGUCCUCGUUCGGUAUAAGCAAUCCUCCCCUCCCUCUCCACCUUUUCUGAUGGUGCUAUCGAUGGUGAUUGUGUGCGCUACAGAUCUGAUAAUGCUAUUUCUUCUGAGCUUAUGUCCAAGUCAAUGAUGUUUUCUCUUUUAAUCUGAGCAUAUGUCCA